UACGUAGGUCCCGAGCGUUAUCCGGAUUUAUUGGGCGUAAAGCGAGCGCAGGCGGUUAGAUAAGUCUGAAGUGAAAGGGUGGGGCUUAACCAUAAUAUGCUUUGGAAACUGUUUAACUUGAGUGCAGAAGGGGAGAGUGGAAUUCCAUGUGUAGCGGUGAAAUGCGUAGAUAUAUGGAGGAACACCGGUGGCGAAGGCGGCGCUCUGGACUGUAACUGACGCUGAGGCUCGAAAGCGUGGGGAGCAAACAGG
Molecule: ribosomal RNA, 252 nt
Filed under: uncultured bacterium
Lineage: Bacteria
Description: partial 16S ribosomal RNA
Rfam family: Bacterial small subunit ribosomal RNA
Source: RNAcentral